GACGUAGGGUGCAAGCGUUAUUCGGAUUUACUGGGUUUAAAGCGUGCGUAGGCGUCUCUUCAAGUCAAUGAUAAAAUUUUGAUGCUUAACGUCAAAGUGUUUAUUGAUACUGUAGAGAUUGAGUUAAUUAAAGGUAGGCAGAAUUUGCAGUGUAGUAGUGAAAUGCGUAGAUAUUGCAAGGAAUUCCGUUAGCGUAGGCAGCUUACUGUAAUUAACUGACGCUGAUAGCACGAAAGGCGGGUAGCAAACAGG
Molecule: ribosomal RNA, 252 nt
Filed under: uncultured bacterium
Lineage: Bacteria
Description: partial 16S ribosomal RNA
Rfam family: Bacterial small subunit ribosomal RNA
Source: RNAcentral